This 450-nucleotide ribosomal RNA is filed under the name uncultured bacterium. Its description in RNAcentral is "partial 16S ribosomal RNA". It matches the Rfam family "Bacterial small subunit ribosomal RNA", at positions 354 to 796 of the family's 1533-position model. The record is from RNAcentral.
GUGGGGAAUAUUGGACAAUGGGCGAAAGCCUGAUCCAGCCAUGCCGCGUGUGUGAAGAAGGUCUUCGGAUUGUAAAGCACUUUAAGUUGGGAGGAAGGGCAGUAAGUUAAUACCUUGCUGUUUUGACGUUACCGACAGAAUAAGCACCGGCUAACUUCGUGCCAGCAGCCGCGGUAAUACGAAGGGUGCAAGCGUUAAUCGGAAUUACUGGGCGUAAAGCGCGCGUAGGUGGUUUUGUAAGUUGGAGGUGAAAUCCCCGGGCUCAACCUGGGAACUGCCUACAAAACUGCAUGACUAUAGUACGGUAGAGGGUAGUGGAAUUUCCUGUGUAGCGGUGAAAUGCGUAGAUAUAGGAAGGAACACCAGUGGCGAAGGCGACUACCUGGACUGAUACUGACACUGAGGUGCGAAAGCGUGGGGAGCAAACAGGAUUAGAUACCCGAGUAGUCC